ACGAACGCUGGCGGCGUGCCUAAUACAUGCAAGUCGAGCGGAAUGAUGAAGAAGCUUGCUUCUUCUGAUUUUUAGCGGCGGAUGGGUGAGUAACACGUGGGCAACCUACCUUGUAGAUUGGGAUAACUCCGGGAAACCGGGGCUAAUACCGAAUAAUCCAUUUUGCUUCAUGGCGAGAUGUUGAAAGACGGUUUCGGCUGUCACUACAAGAUGGGCCCGCGGCGCAUUAGCUAGUUGGUAGGGUAAUGGCCUACCAAGGCGACGAUGCGUAGCCGACCUGAGAGGGUGAUCGGCCACACUGGGACUGAGACACGGCCCAGACUCCUACGGGAGGCAGCAGUAGGGAAUCUUCCACAAUGGACGAAAGUCUGAUGGAGCAACGCCGCGUGAGUGAAGAAGGUUUUCGGAUCGUAAAACUCUGUUGUAAGGGAAGAACACGUACGAGAGUAACUGCUCGUACCUUGACGGUACCUUAUUAGAAAGCCACGGCUGACUACGUG
RNAcentral lists this ribosomal RNA (500 nucleotides) under uncultured bacterium. RNAcentral describes it as "bacterial SSU rRNA". It matches the Rfam family "Bacterial small subunit ribosomal RNA", at positions 29 to 507 of the family's 1533-position model. The record is from RNAcentral.